RNAcentral lists this long non-coding RNA (447 nucleotides) under Ananas comosus (pineapple). Its description in RNAcentral is "long non-coding RNA (ACOM_LNC015967)". The record is from RNAcentral. Lineage: Eukaryota; Viridiplantae; Streptophyta; Magnoliopsida; Poales; Bromeliaceae.
ACCACAGAUCCUGGCCAUUCACCGACUAGGCGUUGCGGGCACUGACAUGAGACACGAGACACACACGGCAUGGACACCACUAAUAAAAUAUAAUACUAUUAAUAUAGUAAUAUAUUUUUUAUAUAUAUAAAAUAUUAAUUUUGGUAAAAGAUUAUUAUAUUUCACAUACAAAUAAAAAUUAAUAAAAUUUUUAUCGAUAGUUUAUAUAUUUUAAGAAAAAAAAUUCUCUACCAUACAUAAUUUAUUUAUAUUGUCAAAAAAAAAUGCAUUCAUUAAAAAAUUAUAAUAUUUAUUAUCUUAUAUUAUAUAUAUAUAUAUAUAUAUAAAAAUAAAAUAAAAAUAGGUACAUAUAUAUUUUUUAGUUGUUUGUCCUACGGAUCGACAUUAAACGCGUGUGUUCGACACGGACAUGCGAAACUUAUAUAAGUGUCCGUGAUACAUAAUUUA